Molecule: ribosomal RNA, 429 nt
Filed under: Chloroflexota bacterium
Lineage: Bacteria; Bacillati; Chloroflexota
Description: Chloroflexi bacterium partial 16S ribosomal RNA
Rfam family: Bacterial small subunit ribosomal RNA
Source: RNAcentral
UGGGGAAUAUUGCACAAUGGGCGCAAGCCUGAUGCAGCCAUGCCGCGUGUAUGAAGAAGGCCUUCGGGUUGUAAAGUACUUUCAGCGGGGAGGAAGGGAGUAAAGUUAAUACCUUUGCUCAUUGACGUUACCCGCAGAAGAAGCACCGGCUAACUCCGUGCCAGCAGCCGCGGUAAUACGGAGGGUGCAAGCGUUAAUCGGAAUUACUGGGCGUAAAGCGCACGCAGGCGGUUUGUUAAGUCAGAUGUGAAAUCCUCGGGCUCAACCUGGGAACUGCAUCUGAUACUGGCAAGCUUGAGUCUCGUAGAGGCGGGUAGAAUUCCAGGUGUAGCGGUGAAAUGCGUAGAGAUCUGGAGGAAUACCGGUGGCGAAGGCGGCCCCCUGGACGAAGACUGACGCUCAGGUGCGAAAGCGUGGGGAGCAAACAGG